GCUGUUGGAUAUCGAGGACUGACAGAAUCAAAGGUUAAUCUAAUGACAAAAUAUCUACAUUUUUAAUUUUUGAUCCGUCAUUGCCUAAGAAUAUAACUUUAGUGGAAAUUGCUAAAGAAUGACAAAUUACAAGGGAAGCAGCAUUGGAAGAGGGAGGUCAGUGAAAGCCUAAAGAGAAUGAGAAGACCACGGAUGGGGUACCUCAGCCUGCCCUCCCAAACAAGGCUACUUCUUCACAGGUAUUACCACAGAGCAAAGACCUCUGAGGUAGCUUAGGGCUGAAGCGAGUUGGCAGUUCCAGGACUGCCCAACAUCAACUCCUUAGUUGCUGUACUGUCCAGAGGUCUAGAGGAGCCAGAAAGUGUGGAAGUGGAGAGGGGCUCUCAGGGAAUCCUACAACAGCAGAGAGUGCUAGUAAAGCAGCAAGGGCUCAGGGUCAGAACAAAAGCAGCCGCUCUUCACCACCACAGGAAUGGACUUCAUGACCAGGGCUCCAAGGAUGAAUGCCAGUACAUCAAAGAAUGCCACAUUCUUCAGUGAUUCCCCAUCCAGGGAGCAGAUCACAUCAACCUUUCUGCCAGUGACCAGCGACAACUGGAAAGCCUCCUUAUUCUGCUGACAGUGUCACAACACCUAUGAGCCACAGAUUCCAUCCAUUGCCAGCUUUAUACCAGAGAUCAACUUGCCAAGGAGCAGAAGUGGGGAGAAGAAAUAUGGAAGUUGAAAGGAAGCUGAGUGUUUACCCUGAUCGUAAUAUUGGACUAAGUUUACCAAACUGAACUAAAAUUUCAUUCCCACCUUGGAAUCCAGUGGUGGAAACUUGGGAGGAACAUUAUUUUAAUUAAUACACAAAAAAUUAAGAAGCUACAUGUUCUUUUCCUCUUUCAAUAUAAUAUGGAUGAACUCUGCAAACCUGAUAGGAAUUUUUGUGG
Bos taurus (domestic cattle) is the source of this 932-nucleotide long non-coding RNA. The record is from Ensembl. NCBI's taxonomy places the organism in Eukaryota, Metazoa, Chordata, Mammalia, Artiodactyla, Bovidae.